This 301-nucleotide ribosomal RNA is filed under the name uncultured bacterium. RNAcentral's name for it is "partial 16S ribosomal RNA". It matches the Rfam family "Bacterial small subunit ribosomal RNA", at positions 509 to 807 of the family's 1533-position model. The record is from RNAcentral.
CAGCCGCCACGGUAAUGCGUAGGUCCCGAGCGUUAUUCGGAAUUACUGGGCGUAAAGCGCACGUAGGCGGCUUUGUAAGUUAGAGGUGAAAGCCCAGAGCUCAACUCUGGAAUUGCCUUUAAGACUGCAUCGCUUGAAUCCAGGAGAGGUGAGUGGAAUUCCGAGUGUAGAGGUGAAAUUCGUAGAUAUUCGGAAGAACACCAGUGGCGAAGGCGGCUCACUGGACUGGUAUUGACGCUGAGGUGCGAAAGCGUGGGGAGCAAACAGGAUUAGAUGCCCCUGUAGUCCCUGUCUCUUAUAC